Molecule: ribosomal RNA, 253 nt
Filed under: uncultured bacterium
Lineage: Bacteria
Description: partial 16S ribosomal RNA
Rfam family: Bacterial small subunit ribosomal RNA
Source: RNAcentral
GACGUAGGGCGCGAGCGUUGUCCGGAUUUAUUGGGCGUAAAGAGCUCGUAGGCGGUUUGUCGCGUCGUUCGUGAAAACUCACAGCUUAACUGUGAGCUUGCGGUCGAUACGGGCAGGCUAGAGUUCGGUAGGGGAGACUGGAAUUCCUGGUGUAGCGGUGAAAUGCGCAGAUAUCAGGAGGAACACCGAUGGCGAAGGCAGGUCUCUGGGCAUUAACUGACGCUGAGGAGCGAAAGCAUGGGGAGCGAACAGG